UUUACUUGCAGUUUGACUGUUUGACGUCGUUCUCGGAGUGACCGUCUCCUGGAACGUAUGUUGACCGGCUUCCGUUCUGUUUUUCCC
Molecule: non-coding RNA, 87 nt
Filed under: Schistosoma japonicum
Lineage: Eukaryota; Metazoa; Platyhelminthes; Trematoda; Strigeidida; Schistosomatidae
Source: RNAcentral